Molecule: long non-coding RNA, 2190 nt
Organism: Schistocerca americana (American grasshopper)
Lineage: Eukaryota; Metazoa; Arthropoda; Insecta; Orthoptera; Acrididae
Exons: 5
Source: RefSeq, a predicted model, not a curated record
CUGUAGCCGGCACAGUGCGCUGCGCAUUUGAAGACGGGAAGUGGAUUAUAACGCGCGGUUUUGUUGUUUGGAACGAAGUGACAGAUUGGAAGAAGGCAGCCGUGUCUGAUAAACAAGGUCCGUCGGUCAAUGCUGUUCGGGUCCGUAAUGAAUGUAGUAGGCUCUUCAGUAGAAGUGCUGGACUGUACAUACUUGGAAAAUACUUUCACAAAGACAUUAUUACUGGAUCACUUGGGAGAUGUUACACCGACAUUCCAGUUUUCCUCCGUUUCAUGCCAACGGUGGCUGUCGGAUGUCUGUAACCCGAUAACCGGGUCGUGUGGGGAGACAGUGAGAUUUUCUGGCUUUGUGCACCACUUUCUCCCACUUGUGUGAAUUUGUCACCUGAGGAUAGAUGGACAAGUGAAACAUAAAAUUUAGGAUGAAAUUUGUGACGUCUUGACUAAAUAGAACAGUGGGGAGCCCGACAGUAGUCGGGGCAAACACAGCUGUCAAAGAUGAUGCUGUAAUUUUCACAAGUUAAGAAUUUGGAGUGAGUCUGGAAAAUGUAAAACUCAUGCAUUUUUGGUGUAACUGCUGCUCCCAGGUGAAGAGAAAACUGACUCAGGCUGCAGCUAACGAGUUGGAAGACUGCUCAUAAAGUUUUGAUUACUCUUUCUCACAAGGCUAGUUGAACGAAUGGCCCGCCUGCAGAUGAGAUGGUGAGGCGAGCCGUACUACGCACAUCUCUAAUGUGAAGUACAUCAAAUACCCUGCAAGAUGUGUGUGACCUACAUUGUGGCAGAGCCUGUUGCCAUCAGUGACAGACAACUCGCUUAUUGGUUCUAUGAGCAGGUGUGUAAUAUAAGUGGUGGCAGAAAAUUGCACUGGUUGCUGCCUUCAUCACUUUUCAUUCGUGCAUCAGCGUUAUGGACCGGUUGCUACGUGAUGGGUGGAUGAGGGGUUUUAAAUCUGGCACUAUUUCCUGUGGAUCAAUAUUGAGAAGUGGCAGCAGUGUCCACCACGUCUUUCCGUACGGCACAAAUACCUUAUCGUGCGGACCUGUCACAGCUUGCAGUCGUCUUGAGGUUACCGGGAGGCGAAGAUGCAGUACACGGCGAACAGGAGGCACCCUUUGAUAAGUUACUAGUCAAAGAUUUGCAUUCGUGCAGUUCUUCUUAUUGUAAUGCACAAUUUCAGAUAAAAAAAAUUGUGGUUUUUGAAAAAUUUGCAGAAUAUUUGUGUGAACUUGGUAGAUUAUGUUUGAGGAAAUGCUGAUAUCGAUUCAGCUGAGGCAGUAAAUGUAGGGAACAUGGCUGUAAGGUUCUACUUUUAUGUUGUCAUCUGUGUUUUUAGAAGCUAUAGAAGAAAUAUUGAGAUUUCCAAUACAAAUUAGCUUUCAGUGGCGCAAGAGGUGUUUAACAAAAUAGUCACCUUGUGUUGGUUGCUUGCUGCACUAUUGUAAAAACAGAUUUAUUGGGCUUUUUAGAGUGUAAGUGUUUGUAAAUGGACAGGCCUGAAGAAAUUUUAACAUGCCCGCUGGAAAGGCUUACCAUUGCAGUUCCCAUUAGCAGUGUGCAAAGUGUACAUUCUCUGUGCUUGCUGAGGAUCCGAGCCAGAGUUUCAUUGUACACAGUGGAAUUUUUUAAUCCCAAUAUGUUGCACUUCUGGCUUGUUCCCUUGCGAGGAACGUCAUAACCCUUUGACACUGAAACACAAAUUCUGAACUUAGGGGGAAUGUGCGCAUCAAUUGUUUGGCAAAUAACACACUUUUAAAUGAGUUCAGGAAACCUGUGUAAUUUCUUAUAUCCCAUGCUUUUUUGCUACUGAUAACCAAGAUCUUAUUCUUGUACAUACCAGAUUGUGCAACUCAGCACUCUCAGCUGUAAUGAAGGUUUCAGAAAGAGAGGAUAUGUCCAUGCGACUGAGAGUGGCAGGAGAUAUCUGUUUCUUGCUCUGUUGGAUAUGUUCUAUUUCUGUGUCCUUCUUGAACAUGGAUAUAAAACUGUUAAAUGGGUUAAAGAAUAACGUAGUCCACCCCAGUCUAUUCUGAGACUGUGUUUACUUUAGCAAAUCUGUUAGAAAAAUGUGAGGAUGUCUCUCCUUGUGUCUGCUUAGCUUCACAGAUCCCAGGAGAAGACAAAUAACACCUGCCUCUCACUCUUUUCACAUAUUUCAAGGCGACUAUGUGAUAGUGGCAGAAAUAAAGUU